UGACGGGCCCGCACAAGCAGCGGAGCGUGUGGUUUAAUUCGAUGCUACACGAAGAACCUUACCAGGGUUUGACAUGCAAGUGGUAGGAAACCGAAAGGCGACCGACCCUUCGGGGAGCUUGCACAGGUGCUGCAUGGCUGUCGUCAGCUCGUGUCGUGAGAUGUUCGGUUAAGUCCGCUAACGAGCGCAACCCUCGCUGUGUGUUACAAGUGUCACACGGUACUGCCGGUCUUAAGCCGGAGGAAGGUGGGGAUGACGUCAAGUCAGCAUGGCCUUUAUGUCCUGGGCUACACACACGCUACAAUGGCCAACACAAUAGGUUGCUAAGCCGCGAGGUGGAGCCAAUCCUCAAAGUUGGUCUCAGUUCAGAUUGCAGGCUGCAACCCGCCUGCAUGAAGAUGGAGUUGCUAGUAACCGCAGGUCAGCUAUACUGCGGUGAAUACGUUCCCGGGGCUU
Molecule: ribosomal RNA, 456 nt
Filed under: uncultured Leptolinea sp.
Lineage: Bacteria; Bacillati; Chloroflexota; Anaerolineae; Anaerolineales; Anaerolineaceae
Description: bacterial SSU rRNA
Rfam family: Bacterial small subunit ribosomal RNA
Source: RNAcentral